Molecule: transfer RNA, 80 nt
Filed under: Angustibacter aerolatus
Lineage: Bacteria; Bacillati; Actinomycetota; Actinomycetes; Kineosporiales; Kineosporiaceae
Description: tRNA-Met
Rfam family: tRNA
About the family: Transfer RNA (tRNA) molecules are approximately 80 nucleotides in length. Their secondary structure includes four short double-helical elements and three loops (D, anti-codon, and T loops). Further hydrogen bonds mediate the characteristic L-shaped molecular structure. tRNAs have two regions of fundamental functional importance: the anti-codon, which is responsible for specific mRNA codon recognition, and the 3' end, to which the tRNAs corresponding amino acid is attached (by aminoacyl-tRNA synthetases). tRNAs cope with the degeneracy of the genetic code in two manners: having more than one tRNA (with a specific anti-codon) for a particular amino acid; and 'wobble' base-pairing, i.e. permitting non-standard base-pairing at the 3rd anti-codon position.
Source: RNAcentral
UGGCGGGGUAGGCUCAGGUGGUUAGAGCACACGACUCAUAAUCGUGGUGUCGCGGGUUCGAGUCCCGCCCUCGCUACCCA